GGUGCCGAAAAUGCAGCAGGCAAAAAGUGUGGCAAUACGACACUAUUGUUGACAAAAGAAUGACAGGGGAUAAGGCUGAAGUAAAGGUGCGCUGGUUGCCUUGUUCUCAGUGUGGCAAAGCCUGGGAGGACACAUGGGAGCCAGCCAGCCAGUUCACUUCCUGAGCUUAGCACAGGGCUCCUACAGCAGUGACCUGCAGUUCAAAAGAAUAUUUCACACACACGCACGUGCACACACACACACACACACACACACACACACACACACACACACACACACACACACACACACACACACUGCUGAUGUUAUAUGUGUGUUCAUACUAUGUCUGAUUGCUGUACAUUUCUUUCUUAUUUGUUGUUUGCAUUUACUGUCUUUCAAAUGGCAUUAAAUAUGUCUCCAUCUCUUUGUUGGACUUGUGCAGUAAAGUUAAGUUAUUUUAUUUCUGAUUAUAGUUUAUUACUGUUUAUUACUUCUUGAAAAAAAUGGCUAUUCUCUCUGUUGUAUAACUCUGUGUUUAGUUAACAUAUCAAUGAAUAGUGUCCAUAUGGGUGUCAGAGGGGAUGGAAUAUGGAUGUUUGGACAAGUCCCCAUGCAUAAUUACAGCUUGGAGCAAAUAUGGCCAAAACAUAUAGUAGACUAAUUCCUUAUCACAGAGACCGACCCAAUGGCUUGAUGUUAACAUUGUCAAUUUGUCUGUCUGUCUUUCAUUUUUUCUCUUUGUCUGUCUCUUUUUCCAGCUGAAGCUCCACUGUUGUACUGUACUGUAAGGAAAUGAGUCUGCCUGUGCAGGAAAUUGCUGCACUCUAGUCUGGACCAACAUGCAGCAGUGAGCAGGGAACACCAGCUUUGCAGCAUAAAGGCAAGCAAUGUUUCCAGGUCUGGCAACACGGCAGCAAUCAACGCACCCUAGCUUGGCAGUGCAGCGGGGAGGGACACACCCUAGACUGGCAAUAUUACAAACAGAGGAAAAGACAAUGAAGAGGAGGCUCGUUGUCAUAGCAGUCCAAAUGCAGUCCUAGUGUACCAAGCAUAGACCCAACCAACUUCUCCAGAACUGUCUGCCAGUGAACACUGGUCUGGCUAACAUCCUCAGAGGGCCAUUGGUCCUGGGUCUGUAUAGCGACAUCAUGAAUGUUGGAGGUCUCAGGAAGCCAACAUUUAGAGAGGAUGCGUGUUGCGCUGAAAAAACUAUACUGCUGUAGCUUGCACUGAAGGUUCCAUAUCUGAAAGCUGUGCUACAUUAAGCAUUUAUCAUUAUUGUUAUAAACAGAUUGUAACCGGAUUCAAUGAUAAAAUAAUUUAGUUUUUAUACUUAACUUAUAUUUAUUUACCACACCUGGACCUUAUUUAUGUUCAUUCUCAUCUUUCUUAUCUCAGGAAAGUCAAGGCUCUAGCUAAAAUGCGCAACGGAGUUUAAUUUAUUAGGGAAUUUCUAUCUAGUAAUGGAAUGGAUUUGACUGACAUCGCUCUAACAAGUUAGAGAAAAAGUAAGUGGGUCCAAAAUCCACUAUCAUCAGAGGUGGCAAAAGUACACACAUCUAUUACUUAAGUAGAAGUACAGAUACUCAUGUUUUGAAAUACUGGGGUAAAAG
Molecule: long non-coding RNA, 1595 nt
Organism: Silurus meridionalis
Lineage: Eukaryota; Metazoa; Chordata; Actinopteri; Siluriformes; Siluridae
Exons: 4
Source: RefSeq, a predicted model, not a curated record